AAAGAUUUGUAAACACAAACCAGAAUGUGGUCGGAUGCACGUGUUUAUAUUAAAGACACACGAUAACUACAAUAGCCAUUUCUAUAAAGGAAAAAGUUUAUAUAAGGUUGCAACUUUAAAAUGUAGAAUUACAGAUGCACCGCAAAAAUCUAUCGGAAAGGUUGUUUUAAUGUUGAAAAACCCUCUAUUUGAUCAUCUCAACAUUUAGAUGUAUGAAUAUAAAAAAAAAGUUUUUGAGUCUCAGAAAUAGUGCAUCUUGCAACACAUUAUCUAGGCCGUCCAUUUUAAAGAUUUUCAUAAGUUUAUAGAUCUCCUUGAUUUUAACUAUUUUUGGAGUUUAAAAUUUUCUAAUUAGAUAUGAAAAUAGAUUUUAAGAUAAUCCUAAGAAUUUUUACAAUAAAAUUACAUGUUAUGAUAAAAUUUGGAGGUGCACCUUAAUUUGAUUGUUUAAGGUUGCAACCUUAUAGAAACUGCACCCUUCUAUAAAUGCUCUAACUUUAAGGUAUGUAAUAUUCAUUCAUUAAUAUAAUGUAGAAGCAUAUUGGUGUUCAUUUGUAAGUAUAUAUCUAACACACAUUUAUCUUAUUGUGUUAACCACUAGAAUGAGACUGGAAUACGGCUAUCUAGAGUGGCGUGAUGAAAUUUUAGGUGAAGAUAAGAAGCCUAUGGUUAAAAGGUUCGCAUCUCAGAUGUCAGAUGCUACUGUUGUUGAA
RNAcentral lists this long non-coding RNA (713 nucleotides) under Amborella trichopoda. RNAcentral describes it as "long non-coding RNA (ATRI_LNC002788)". Lineage: Eukaryota; Viridiplantae; Streptophyta; Magnoliopsida; Amborellales; Amborellaceae. The record is from RNAcentral.